CGAUAGCUAAUACCGCAUAACAAUGGAUGACACAUGUCAUUUAUUUGAAAGGGGCAAUUGCUCCACUACAAGAUGGACCUGCGUUGUAUUAGCUAGUAGGUGAGGUAAUGGCUCACCUAGGCGACGAUACAUAGCCGACCUGAGAGGGUGAUCGGCCACACUGGGACUGAGACACGGCCCAGACUCCUACGGGAGGCAGCAUG
This 203-nucleotide ribosomal RNA is filed under the name uncultured bacterium. RNAcentral's name for it is "partial 16S ribosomal RNA". It matches the Rfam family "Bacterial small subunit ribosomal RNA", at positions 157 to 353 of the family's 1533-position model. The record is from RNAcentral.